AGUGAACGCUGGCGGUAGGCCUAACACAUGCCAGUCGAACGGCAGCACAGUAAGAGCUUGCUCUUACGGGUGGCGAGUGGCGGACGGGUGAGGAAUACAUCGGAAUCUACUUUUUCGUGGGGGAUAACGUAGGGAAACUUACGCUAAUACCGCAUACGACCUACGGGUGAAAGCAGGGGAUCUUCGGACCUUGCGCGAUUGAAUGAGCCGAUGUCGGAUUAGCUAGUUGGCGGGGUAAAGGCCCACCAAGGCGACGAUCCGUAGCUGGUCUGAGAGGAGGAUCAGCCACACUGGAACUGAGACACGGUCCAGGCUCCUACGGGAGGCAGCAGUGGGGAAUAUUGGACAAUGGGCGCAAGCCUGAUCCAGCCAUACCGCGUGGGUGAAGAAGGCCUUCGGGUUGUAAAGCCCUUUUGUUGGGAAAGAAAAGCAGCAGGUUAAUACCCCGCUGUUCUGACGGUACCCAAAGAAUAAGCACCGGCUAACUUCGU
Molecule: ribosomal RNA, 491 nt
Filed under: uncultured bacterium
Lineage: Bacteria
Description: partial 16S ribosomal RNA
Rfam family: Bacterial small subunit ribosomal RNA
Source: RNAcentral